AACGCACGAGACCUGCGGACCUGCGGAGGGAUCAUUAAUGAGAAGCUGCCCCUCGUGGGUAGACCUCCCACCCUCUGUGAACUUACCUUUGUUGCUUUGGCAGGCCCGUCCUCUGGACCGCCGGCUUCGGCUGGCCCGUGCCUGCCAGAGGAUUCCAGACCCUGUCUGUCAGUGUUGUCUGAGUCUAUAUGAAAUCGUUAAAACUUUCAGCAACGGAUCUCUAGAUCGGAAGAGCACACG
RNAcentral lists this unclassified non-coding RNA (240 nucleotides) under soil metagenome. Its description in RNAcentral is "partial contains 5.8S ribosomal RNA, internal transcribed spacer 2, and large subunit ribosomal RNA". The record is from RNAcentral.